GAAACAUUGUAAAGGAAGGUUGAGCUGGCUCUUCACGGGCAUGUGCUCGCCUUUCUUUCAAUCUUCAUCCACCUGUGCACUUUUUGUAGAGAGCUUUGAGAAUGGACCUCUUGGGGUCCUAGUAUUGGGCUCCCUAUGUCUUUACACACUCUUGAAUGUAUGUCGUUGAAUGUCUUUUACAGGGACUUAAUUGACCCUUUAAAAACUAUACAACUUUCAGCAACGGAUCUCUUGGCUCU
RNAcentral lists this unclassified non-coding RNA (239 nucleotides) under rhizosphere metagenome. RNAcentral's name for it is "partial ribosomal RNA internal transcribed spacer region". The record is from RNAcentral.